RNAcentral lists this ribosomal RNA (294 nucleotides) under uncultured bacterium. RNAcentral describes it as "partial 16S ribosomal RNA". It matches the Rfam family "Bacterial small subunit ribosomal RNA", at positions 775 to 1067 of the family's 1533-position model. The record is from RNAcentral.
GGAUUAGAUACCCUGGUAGUCCACGCCGUAAACGAUGUCGACUAGUUGUUGGAGAUCUUAGUAUCUUUGGUGACGAAGCUAACGCGAUAAGUCGACCGCCUGGGGAGUACGGCCGCAAGGUUAAAACUCAAAUGAAUUGACGGGGGCCCGCACAAGCGGUGGAGCAUGUGGUUUAAUUCGAAGCAACGCGAAGAACCUUACCUGGUCUUGACAUCCUGCGAACUUACUAGAGAUAGUUUGGUGCCUUCGGGAGCGCAGUGACAGGUGCUGCAUGGCUGUCGUCAGCUCGUGCUG